CCUUCCAUAUUAGGCAGUAUUUCCCUGAAAGGAAAACGUCUGCACUUCAACUCCUCUGGAUGGUUCCCCCAGCCGUCUGCCUUCUGGACCAAUGAGAAUGAUCUGACUGUGACUGAGCGCAGUCAGACUAACAUCACCCAGGGAGAGGAUGAACUGUACAGCAUCAGCACUGUCCUUGAGCCAGCAUCGAGCUGGAAGUCACGCAAUCUCCACCUGUGCUACACCAACCCCGACACUGGAGAGAAACAAACUGACGUCUACCACAUAGCAGCAAAGAGCUCAGGUUCAGCUCAAGGCCUGUUUCUCAUUCACAUUGCAGCGAUAGUAAUCUCAGGAUUUUU
Long non-coding RNA from Anguilla rostrata (American eel), 341 nucleotides. RefSeq lists it as uncharacterized. The record is from RefSeq and is a predicted model, not a curated record. The transcript is spliced from 2 exons. NCBI's taxonomy places the organism in Eukaryota, Metazoa, Chordata, Actinopteri, Anguilliformes, Anguillidae.